UAUUGCUUGGUUGGAAAGAAACCCUGCAGCCACACGGCCCUUUCUGGAACCAGUUUGACACCCCUGACGUAGGCAAAUAAGAUGCAGGGGCUCAAUGUCAGCAGGUUUUAUACUCCGUGUAUAUUUAUGGGCCAAAUCGUAAGAUGCCUCUAAAUGUUUAUGUUUGCAAACCCUUAACAAUAGAAGCUGUCGCUCGUCCACCAUGUUUUUCUUUCUUGUCCUUAUUUGCUGCUGAUUGGGUGAAUCCGGUAGAUGGUGACAAGACAUGUUUUGGAAGCUGCUUUUGUCAUGAUCUGCUCUGAUAGCUGUCUUUAAUUGAUUAUCUCACUCACCUGCCUAGUUUUGCCCAGUUCCUAAUUAUCUCUGAUCUUUAUCCACCUGUAGGUGAUGACUUAUAUUUGGUCCAGCCCAGCUAUCAAGGCCAGAUCAUUGUUUGAGUUUCUUUUUGUGUCCUGUAUGUCAGUUUUGUUUGGUUAGAUUUAUUUCCAAGGGUCCUGUCCCCGGUUCCAGUAGGAGAUUACUCUUGAGCCCUUGUCUUCAGUUGGACUCCUCCUGGCUUCUGCCUCCCAGGUGCGUUUCUGUCUGAGUUGGAUGCUUGACGCACGCGACUCUGAACCUGCCUUCACGCGCUGAUGGAUUCUCGGAACCCAGAUCUGUCCGUUCCUGAGUGGAAUCGGAACCCCUGACCGGACUGCAGAUUCCUUGAUUCCACUGCUACUCCAGUCUGAUCUGAAUCCCUGACCUGGAUCGGAGUCCUGCCUCUUCACUGGGGUUGUUGCAUCAGGGAUCUUGUUGGCAGUACAUCAGCUGAUCCUGCCUAUCAUUGAGAGGAUGGACUGAACUGUUAAACCAGAGUGUCAGUGUUUGGGCGGCCCCCCUCCUGCAGUCGCUACAAGUCCGCAGAUCUUCAGAAGCUCGUUUAUGUUCUGUUUUGUUUAUGUAUUAAUAAACAUUUAAAACUUU
Molecule: long non-coding RNA, 963 nt
Organism: Cyprinodon tularosa
Lineage: Eukaryota; Metazoa; Chordata; Actinopteri; Cyprinodontiformes; Cyprinodontidae
Exons: 2
Source: RefSeq, a predicted model, not a curated record